RNAcentral lists this ribosomal RNA (746 nucleotides) under Haematopinus quadripertusus. RNAcentral describes it as "SSU rRNA". It matches the Rfam family "Eukaryotic small subunit ribosomal RNA", at positions 87 to 554 of the family's 1831-position model. Lineage: Eukaryota; Metazoa; Arthropoda; Insecta; Psocodea; Haematopinidae. The record is from RNAcentral.
CCGCGAAAGGCUCAUUAAAUCAGCUGUAAUUUAAUUGAUGGUACAAUCACUUUUACUUGGAUAACUGUGGCAAUUCUAGAGCUAAUACAUGCAAAAUGAAUUCCGACCGCGCGGGCGGGCUCUUUUACAAGCUCGUCUUGGCGGAACGAAUGCUUUUAUUAGAACAAAACCAAUCGGAUCUUUCGUCGGCUCGCGUCACUUUUUUUUCGUUCUUUUCUCUCGUUCGGUGACGUCUUUCGCGCUCUUCCUCCGUUCCUUUCUCCGCGAUCGCUUCGUCGAGAUUGAUUUCUCGCGCGAGCGAAAACGGAGAGUACACGGGGAAGGGAGGGCACACGGGAGCGCGAAAGCAUCCGUUCGAAACAACGGGGAAAGUUGCGAAAAAAGAACGGUGUGCGCGGAAAAAGCUCGAAAGAAAUCAGCAAAAAUAGUUUUGAGGAAUCUGAAUAACUUUACGCUGAUCGCACGGUCACGAACCGGCGACGCAUCUUUCAAAUGUCUGACUUAUCAACUUUCGAUGGUAGGCUACGCGCCUACCAUGGUGAUAACGGGUGACGGGGAAUCAGGGUUCGAUUCCGGAGAGGGAGCCUGAGAAACGGCUACCACAUCCAAGGAAGGCAGCAGGCGCGCAAAUUACCCACUCCCGGCACGGGGAGGUAGUGACGAAAAAUAACGAUGCAGGACUCAUUACGAGGCUCUGCAAUCGGAAUGAGAACACUCUAAAUCAUUUAACGAGUAUCCAUUGCAGG